This 70-nucleotide transfer RNA is filed under the name Amblygaster sirm (spotted sardinella). RNAcentral describes it as "tRNA-Arg". It matches the Rfam family "tRNA". Rfam says of the family: Transfer RNA (tRNA) molecules are approximately 80 nucleotides in length. Their secondary structure includes four short double-helical elements and three loops (D, anti-codon, and T loops). The record is from RNAcentral. Lineage: Eukaryota; Metazoa; Chordata; Actinopteri; Clupeiformes; Clupeidae.
GGGAGGUUAGUCCAAUUCAAGACUUCUGAUUUCGGCUCAGAAAAUUAAGGUUAAAGUCCAUAACCCCCCU